Long non-coding RNA from Phyllopteryx taeniolatus (common seadragon), 532 nucleotides. RefSeq lists it as uncharacterized. The record is from RefSeq and is a predicted model, not a curated record. Lineage: Eukaryota; Metazoa; Chordata; Actinopteri; Syngnathiformes; Syngnathidae. The transcript is spliced from 4 exons.
UUGGAAUCCAAUCUCACACCAUUGCUUCGAAAUCCGUCCGGUCAGAGGAGUGUCAGGACGCAGCUCCUUCCACAACUGUGCAAAAAACACAACAAUAGUGACUUGUGAGGCCAUCUUCAAGAGAACACAAGCUACAAGGUCGUAAGGCUCCCGCCGGAGCUUCUCCACCUCGGCCACCAAGUACCUGUAGCCCACAAUCUGCAGCAGGCUGGCCUGUAGGGAGAUGCCCAACCUGGGGGGAGGACAAACACAAUGGUGGAAGAAGUUUCACACAUGAAUUCCAUCAGGAAACGAAAUGCAAGCUCGCCACACCUCAGGAAGUGCUUCAUGAUGCCCGGCGUCUUGUCCACUGGAGUUGCUGCUGGGGGAUGACCUGCAAAGAGAACAUGAUGAUGGGAGUGCAAAGCGAAGCAGGCGACGUGCGGCUUCGUGUCUCCCCCGUCACUCGGCUCCAGACGUCCGCUUCGCCUCCAUGAUGACGCCGUUGUGCGAAGAUGCAGUCGAUAGGGGGCGCCAGAGCGCUCGGCAUCAG